GACGAACGCUGGCGGCGUGCUUAACACAUGCAAGUCGAACGGAAAGGCCCUGCUUUUGUGGGGUGCUCGAGUGGCGAACGGGUGAGUAACACGUGAGUAACCUGCCCUUGACUUUGGGAUAACUUCAGGAAACUGGGGCUAAUACCGGAUAGGAGCUCCUGCUGCAUGGUGGGGGUUGGAAAGUUUCGGCGGUUGGGGAUGGACUCGCGGCUUAUCAGCUUGUUGGUGGGGUAGUGGCUUACCAAGGCUUUGACGGGUAGCCGGCCUGAGAGGGUGACCGGCCACAUUGGGACUGAGAUACGGCCUAGACUCCUACGGGAGGCAGCAGUGGGGAAUAUUGCACAAUGGGCGGAAGCCUGAAGCAGCAACGCCGCGUGCGGGAUGACGGCCUUCGGGUUGUAAACCGCUUUCGCCUGUGACGAAGCGUGAGUGACGGUAAUGGGUAAAGAAGCACCGGCUAACUACGUG
Molecule: ribosomal RNA, 468 nt
Filed under: uncultured bacterium
Lineage: Bacteria
Description: partial 16S ribosomal RNA
Rfam family: Bacterial small subunit ribosomal RNA
Source: RNAcentral